Molecule: long non-coding RNA, 211 nt
Filed under: Rosa chinensis
Lineage: Eukaryota; Viridiplantae; Streptophyta; Magnoliopsida; Rosales; Rosaceae
Description: sRNA RchiOBHm_Chr1g0330871
Source: RNAcentral
GCAUUAGAAACAUUCAAAGGCAGUAGGCAGUACAACCUCAUUAAAAUUGGGCACUUAUGCUCAAAAUAUGUGAUCCAUAUGGAGGAAUGUGUUAAAUGGUUAGAACAUGGAGAAGACUAUAAAAGUACUUGGGCUCCCUCCCCUUUGUGAACUAGAUAACUUCAUUUGAUUACUAUUAGUUGUUAGUUCAGUUAGAAAGCAAUUGAUAAUU